GAAAUGGCUGAGCUGUUCGUCACGAAAAAACUAGAAGAUUGGAAAUUGGAAGAGUUUUCAUCGAACUUUGAAACGAACCUUUCGAGAGAUAUGGUAUCUUCAAGAAUUUCCUAAUCACUCCAUCAUUAUCACAUUGCUGAAGGUUGUAAAGGCCAAAAAUGACAAAGACAUUUAUUUAAUAUUUGAUUUUAUGGGUGUGUGAAUUACAUUUUCGCAAAGAAGACAUUCUUCAUGAAGCAGAAUUCUUCGAUGAAAAGUCGAUGAGACUUCUAAGGAGUGAAAUAUUUGGUAUGUCCCACAAUGACUCAAAUGCUGCAUCCAGUGCUUUCACAUUUAUGAUCCAAAGUUUAUUGUCUCCGUACAAAGAUGUGGCACAUAUUUUGCCAGUCCGUAGCAUAGAUGCUGACGAUUUCCAUUCAUAUAUAAAAAAAAUCUUGAUUGGUUUAGCUGCCAUAGGGUUUAAUGUCAUAUCAGUAGCCACUGACAAUAAUGCUAUUAAUAAAAAGGCCGUUAGUAUGUUUGCCUCUCCCCUUGAGUCGCGGGUUAGGUAUGAUUAUCCUGGAAGUCCAGGAAAAUAUUUCUAUUUUUCUUUUGAUUCCGUUCAUAUUUUUACAGACUACAUUCAGAUUCUUUGCAAGUGGUGGUCAAUAAUGAAUGUGAAAACUUUGUAUAAGGGUGAGCAUAAAAGGGAUGAGUUCCAAACGCCUCUCACACCAAAUACUGACACAGCUCAGUAUAAGUUCUUAACUAACUUUAUUAAUUGGUUAGACAAAUGGGAGGAAAUGAAUUGUACAACUGGUGGAUUAACAAAGCAAACCCA
Uloborus diversus is the source of this 820-nucleotide long non-coding RNA. RefSeq lists it as uncharacterized. The record is from RefSeq and is a predicted model, not a curated record. Lineage: Eukaryota; Metazoa; Arthropoda; Arachnida; Araneae; Uloboridae. The transcript has 3 exons.